RNAcentral lists this ribosomal RNA (78 nucleotides) under Escherichia coli. RNAcentral describes it as "partial 23S ribosomal RNA". The record is from RNAcentral. Lineage: Bacteria; Pseudomonadati; Pseudomonadota; Gammaproteobacteria; Enterobacterales; Enterobacteriaceae.
UGUGUAAGCGCAGCGAUGCGUUGAGCUAACCGGUACUAAUGAACCGUGAGGGUUAACCUUACAACGCCGAAGGUGUUU